CUAGUUGGGGUGUAACGCAUGCAUUGACAUGUUAAUGUUCAUCAACUUUGUCUCCAGAUUCUAGAACUUUCCUUGCUUGAACAUGUUGAAAAUAUUUGUACUAACAGUGGUAAUCGAGGUAAUGACCUGCGCCUACAUCAUGGGACUACAUCAUGAAUGUUAGACAUAGUGUAUUAAUGGUCUGGAUGGCCCAGUGUACUGAUGGCGUCUUUUCAAAUGCGGACCAGAUUAGCAUGCAGCAGAAAAUUUAUCCACCUUCCACAAUAAUGCCCUUUUUGGACUGACCUCCUGUGGGAUGCUGAUUGUACCUGUCGUCUUGUUGUACUUCCCAAAAGUGUUGAGUAUUGUCUCCAGUGCUGUCUGGGGUUCGUAUCUAGCCUUGGCUACUAUCAGCUAUUUCACCACCGGUAUUCUUCAUUACGUGCUCUACAAUGUCAUGCGACGAGGCAUCGUAGCCAAAUAUGCAGAGGCUCAUCACACCAUCCAGUUUGAAGUUGUUGACUACAUUCUGUUUGCUGCAUGGGCUCUCUCAUCUCUCACCGGUGCCCUGAUUCAGUGGUUCCUAACCAAAGACAGACCCACCAACUUCCCUCCGUGCCCCUACCGAGAGUGGCAGACGAGACAACAGGAGUGUCGGAGCGAGCCCGACAGGCGAGGGCACCCGAUACAGGCCAUCAGUCAGAGCGAUGCAUCAGAGGAUUCCCCUUUGCUCAGGAACCAGAAGACGAGGUAAAUGAAAACAGUCUACUGAAAUACGAGCAGCUCUAAGAAAGAUUUCCUUACACAGACGCUGCAUGACACUCUUUGUACAUGCCCUAUCGGACUAGUCUGAAAAAUGGUUUGCUAAGUGAAUGCUUCAAUGUUUUCACUGCUAAAUUUGACUUUUUAGAACAUAUUGCUUUUGGAAGGCUUAAAGGUCACUGCAGGGAAAAUUGAGUGGCAUCCAUAUUUGGAUUUCUUUCCCAGCUCUGGCCAACUGUGGAAUAAAAUCUGAAAAUGGGAAUAAUGGAAUAGAUAUUUGGGAUAUCUUGCUCAGCUUGGAUCAAGUUUCUCACCAUAAACUGAUCGGAAAAGAAAUCAAACAUUAAAGUGCCUGAAAGAGAUUUGCAAGAGUCAACCUGUGGAAUAUUAAAUGUGUGAUGUAGCAACUAGACCAGCUGGCCCUGAACAGGUGGCCACCAACAUCAUAGGGUGGGAUAGCUCACUUGGUGCUGUAGUUUUGAUGUCAAACACUUCCGGAGUACUCUCCAGUCCUAUUUAGAUCCACACAUACUCAGAAAAGAGAUCUCCUUGCGUGGGGCUACCGCAUACCUCUAAAACUAACUCUACCUUCCUUAUUGAAGAGCUUCAAAGUUCAACACUUCUUCUGUUCUUUGGUUUUGUCACAAAUUCUCAUCACAUUUUUUGAGAAAUCUGGCUGAUCAGUCGUUGAAAGAGAUUGUCCCAAAGGUCAUCUUGAACAUUUGAGUUGCAGUAGUCAGGUAGUGGUGGGUUUCUGUCUAGUUGGAUUGAGUUAGGUGGGGGUGAAUUGUCAGCAUUUAGUGGGGCUGGGAAGGGUCAGGUGAGGUUGGGUGGGGACAGAAUGGUUGGCACAGUCGGAUAGGUUUAGGCGGGGUUGGGUGGGUUUAGGCAGGGUCAGGUGGUGUUAGGCAGGGUCAGGUGGGGUCAGAUGGCCAUUGCUAGGAAGGGGCAGUUUGUAAUAUUUUGUAAUGAUUUUGUACUCCUGAAAUGCUGUAUAAUUUAAAAUGCAAUCUGAAGUAUUUUUUCGAAGGAAAUCAUUCAGUAGAUAUUUUUCAGUCAAGUGUGACAAUAUUGUAAUAAUGCUGAUUCCAAAGAGUUUUAUGCACAAGAAUCGGAAGUUGAUUUAUUAUAAAAUGAGUACUAUGCAUAUGGCGGUUGAGGGUAAUCUUUAUUGAUCAGAAUAUAAAGGAAAGAAAUCCAAGCUGGUUUGAGAUACCACUCUCCCACUGUUUAGCGUUUAAGCCAAGACACAUCAUACUUUGUUACAUAUUAUAACGGAAAUGAUGUAGCUUUGUUUAAUCACAUUGAAACGCAAAGAAAAAUGCUGUGCUGUUAAAAACUUCCAAGCACAUAAGGUGAAUGAGAUGUUGACAUCCAGGUUUUGCUGUGGCAGGUUUUAAAGGCUGUUGAUUCAAACACAGGUGUCUUUAUUUGAAAUUCUGGCUGACUUUUAAAGUCUAAAAUAUAUUAAAAUCCUGGUAGAAUCCUGUGGAAUAUUGACAUAAUUUGUAUUUUUAAUUUUGGAGGAAACCAGAAAGUAUUUUACCAAAAAAUUCAAUUUUACAAGGAAACCAAAAGUGCUUAAAACUGUAUUUUUAAAAAGAUCCCAAAUGCAGACUUUUCUUUUUAUGUUUUAAUAUUCUGGGGUGAAAAACAGACAUCAGUUAACCUGGGGUCAAACCGAUGGCCUUAAUCAAAGAGAAAAAAUUUACAGCCAAAUGCAAUCAACUCCUGUUGUUGACUUCCUCUGUUCAUGCUGAAUAGCUUAGUUUAGUAACCUUUAACGUCAGGGAUUCCCCUUAGCCAGAAAGCCUCGAAUAAAGGUACCCUGGCCUUACUUUGACUUCUCUCUGUGGUUUUUAAUAGUGGUAGGGGCUGCAAGACACCUACCCUACAGAGCAAUAUAAAUUUUGUAAUCAAAUCUAAUGUAAAUGUAUUGUUUUUUCUUCUUUUUUGGCAUCCUAAUUAGAGUUUAGUUUAAUUGAAAGUGCAUUUAUGUUGUACAGGUACCAUCAGUGGCACUCAUUGUUACCAUGGAAACUCCAUGUAUUCAGAAUGAGGAUUUGUUUUUUAAUUACAUGUGGCAUUUUGAAGAAGUCAUGUCCUCUUGCACUCAAAAAUCAAAAGAAUUUCAAGAAGUUGGAUUUUCACAAGGAUCUGGUAGGCUUGAAAAAUCAGUGCACAAUUCCUGAAUAAUGUAUAUCAGCUGCUCUGAUGCCGAUUGUGGUAAUUUCAAGAGUCGUUAAGGUUUUGCGUAGCUUGUGAAAGUCAUCUCAAAGAUACACCUGCAAGCUGUCCAUAAAUAUGAUACUGGCAAAUUUCAUUCAAAUGGAGCUUCCCUCCAGAAUGUGUAUCCAAGUUGAUAUUUUCAAAAUGCAGAGCAUUUUAAAUUUAAAGCCAAACUUUGUAUGUGGAAAGAUGCUUGCCAUUUUUUAAAUCUGCUUUUUGAAACUUACUAAGUGUAGUGUAUUGAUUUAAUUUUCAAAAGUCCUGUAAAUAUUCAGAUCAGGAAUCAAGCAGACAAACUUCAGUUUUUGUCAAAGUGCGCAUUUUCUUUGGAAACUUGUACAGUAAGUUUAUGAUCUUCAUGUAAAGGGUAAAAGAAGUUCAUGUAGGGCAAUGCUGAGUAUUUUUGUAAAUUGUUGCCUAUCAUUCCACUCAAGUAGAAUGGUGGUCUGACUGCUGAGAAAUAAACUCCUGUAAUGCUUCAUGCUUGUAUGAUUGCCUCAGUGCUUAGCCUUGAUUCCAGUCGUCACAGUGUCAUGUCCAACUUUACAUGUACAUCAUAGAGUCUAACCUCAACAUUGCGCAAUCAACUAAGUACCAAUCUGUACUUUAAAUAUUAGGUCCGAACUACUACCCUUGUGGGGGGACCCAAGUGGCUCAACAGGUUAAGUCACAGGGUUGGAAACCCACACGGUUGAGAACCUUCCCAAAGCAGGUUCAAACCCCAGCAGGGACAAGCUAGCUAGAAAGCUAGCUGGAAGAAAGAGUUUU
Long non-coding RNA from Acanthaster planci (crown-of-thorns starfish), 3738 nucleotides. The record is from RefSeq and is a predicted model, not a curated record. NCBI's taxonomy places the organism in Eukaryota, Metazoa, Echinodermata, Asteroidea, Valvatida, Acanthasteridae.